CCUCUCCCUGUGCAGCAUCAGUACGAUGGGAUCCUGAGGCAGGACUAAAUACUGGAGUAUUUGAAAUGAAGGUGCAUGCUCACAGACUUCAGCUCUCCUUUUUCCUCCCAGGAUUUGACUGUUUUUCUAAACAUUCUGACUCAUGUGUGAGAAAGUGUUCAAGUUGUCCAAUCAAUUCUCAGGUUGCUAGAUAUCUCAGCAGCGCAGAUGGAUCUGCAUACUGAUGAAGACAUGGGGCAUCUAUGAAAAAUGCUGGAUCUGGCUGAGCUCCCUGCAGGCACAGGGUCUGCUUUCUCUUCUAUUAGAGCCCAACACAUGCACAUUUUUCAAAGCUUGGACAUGCAUGCCAGGUUUUGGUGCUGCUGUUGUGGCUUUACUUCUGCCUAAGAGCGAAGCCCAGUUUUCCACUUCAGC
Long non-coding RNA from Grus americana (Whooping crane), 414 nucleotides. RefSeq lists it as uncharacterized. The transcript is spliced from 3 exons. NCBI's taxonomy places the organism in Eukaryota, Metazoa, Chordata, Aves, Gruiformes, Gruidae. The record is from RefSeq and is a predicted model, not a curated record.